This 778-nucleotide ribosomal RNA is filed under the name uncultured Neocallimastigales. RNAcentral's name for it is "partial large subunit ribosomal RNA". It matches the Rfam family "Eukaryotic large subunit ribosomal RNA", at positions 25 to 634 of the family's 3401-position model. The record is from RNAcentral. Lineage: Eukaryota; Fungi; Neocallimastigomycota; Neocallimastigomycetes; Neocallimastigales.
ACACUGACGUCGCGACGCAUAUCAAUAAGCGGAGGAAAAGAAACUAACUAGGAUUCCCUUAGUAACGGCGAGUGAAGCGGGAAGAGCUCAAAUUUGAAAUCUUCAAGGUUCUACCUUGACGAAUUGUAGUUUAAAGAAGUGUUUUCUGUUAGAUGAGUAGCAAAAGUUCCUUGGAAUAGGGACAUCAUAGAGGGUGAGAAUCCCGUAUUUGGAUUAUUCAUUCUAGCUUUGUGAUACACUUUCAAAGAGUCGGAUUGUUUGGGAAUGCAGUCCAAAAUGGGUGGUAAAUUUCAUCUAAAGCUAAAUAUUGGCGAGAGACCGAUAGCGAACAAGUACCGUGAGGGAAAGAUGAAAAGAACUUUGAGAAAGAGAGUUAAACAGUACGUGAAAUUGUCAAAAGGGAAGCGUUUGACACCAGUGUUGUUUUUCCGAAAAUCAAUUAUAAGAUGUUUUGUUUCUGAGGAGUGAUGACUUCAUCGGCUUCCUUCUCUCUUCACGAAACUUUUGUAAUGCACUUUUCGGUUAACAAGUCAACAUCAAUUUCUUUUGUUGUAAAAGAGUAUUCGGAAGGUGGCUUUCUUUUCGGAGAAAGUGUUUAUAGCCCUAUACUUCUACAAUCGGAGAGAUUGAGGUCUGCAGCGUAGAUCCUUCGGGGUUAGAUACACUUGUGCUAAGUUAUAGCUUUUCAUAGACAACUUGUUGACUAUGUUUAGUCUUGUAGCUUACUCGCUUGUGCUAUUUUACCUACGCUUAGGAUGUUGAGUCGUAGAGCACGCAG